CCUACGGGCGGCAGCAGUGGGGAAUAUUGCACAAUGGGGGGAACCCUGAUGCAGCGACGCCGCGUGGGUGAAGGAGUAUUUCGGUAUGUAAAGCCCUAUCAGCAGGGAAGAACACUGCCGGUACCUGACUAAGAAGCACCGGCUAAAUACGUGCCAGCAGCCGCGGUAAUACGUGUGGUGCAAGCGUUAUCCGGAUUUACUGGGUGUAUAGGGAGCGCAGGCGGCGCGUUAAGCCUGGUGUGAAAGGCCGCGGCCCAACCGCGGGACUGCAUUUGGAACUGGCGGGCUAGAGUGCCGGAGGGGUAGGCGGAAUUCCUAGUGUAGCGGUGAAAUGCGUAGAUAUUAGGAGGAACACCAGUGGCGAAGGCGGCCUACUGGACGGUGACUGACGCUGAGGCUCGAAAGCGUGGGGAGCAAACAGGAUUAGAUACCCCGGUAGUC
Molecule: ribosomal RNA, 441 nt
Filed under: uncultured bacterium
Lineage: Bacteria
Description: partial 16S ribosomal RNA
Rfam family: Bacterial small subunit ribosomal RNA
Source: RNAcentral